RNAcentral lists this ribosomal RNA (900 nucleotides) under Triticum aestivum (bread wheat). RNAcentral's name for it is "partial small subunit ribosomal RNA". Lineage: Eukaryota; Viridiplantae; Streptophyta; Magnoliopsida; Poales; Poaceae. The record is from RNAcentral.
AUGGAAUCCGGCCGCCUCAUUUUCGGUUCGGCCGCGCCGUGCCGCGCUGCCGGCGGAGGAGGAGGUCAGAUGAUGCUCUUUGGCGGCAGUGGGAGCUUCCUUGGAGGCUCGCCGGUGGUGGCCGGCGUGGAGGACGGGCGGCGUAAGAGGCCGUUCUUGACAACGGUGGACGAGGAGCUCCAACUGGAGGAAGAGAUGUACGGCUACUACGGCCUCGACGAGCACGCGCCCGAGAGGAAGCGCCGGCUGACGGCGGAGCAGGUGCGCGCUCUGGAGCGGAGCUUCGAGGAGGAGAAGCGGAAGCUGGAGCCGGAGCGGAAGAGCGAGCUAGCGCGGCGGCUGGGAAUCGCGCCGCGACAGGUGGCCGUGUGGUUCCAGAACCGCCGCGCGCGCUGGAAGGCGAAGCAGCUCGAGCAGGACUUCGAUGCCCUCAGGGCCGCCCACGACGAGCUGCUCGCCGGACGAGACGCCCUCCUCGCCGACAACCACCGACUACGAUCGCAGGUGACAUCACUGACCGAGAAACUGCAAGCCAAGGAGUCGUCGGAGCCAGAGGGGCCAACCGCCGUGUCAGGCAGGACAGAUGCCGGUGUCCCAGCCGUUGAGCCGAAAGAAGGCUACGCCGCCUGCGAUGGCGCGGCGGGGCUGCUGGCCGAUUUCGCCGGGGGAGCCAACGACAGCCCGGAGUCCAACUCCUACUUGGCCGACGCGCGCUCGCCUCCGUCGUCCUCGGACGACGACUGCGCCGGAGCGGUCGGCGGCGAGCUGAACAGCUGCGGCUUCUUCCUCCCCGAGUACGCCAUGCUCGACGUCGCGGCUGCGGAGCGCGGGAGCGUCCAACAAGGGGAGGAGGAAGAGGAGGAGGCGCAGCGCAAGUACUGGGCGUGGUUCUGGAGCUGA